This 411-nucleotide unclassified non-coding RNA is filed under the name Hevea brasiliensis (rubber tree). Lineage: Eukaryota; Viridiplantae; Streptophyta; Magnoliopsida; Malpighiales; Euphorbiaceae. The record is from RNAcentral.
CCAAAUCUCAAUAUCUCAUAUGGUCUCAAAAAAUCCGAACCUGCAAGACGGAUUCUAUUUGGAACCGAACGGAAUGGCCCUACCCGGAUUUGGACCGGUCGCCGCUGCAUCCACUACAUCUUCAUCGGAGGAUCCGUCUAAGAAGAUCCGAAAACCCUACACCAUCACCAAGUCCAGAGAAAGCUGGACCGAACCUGAGCACGACAAAUUCCUCGAAGCUCUUCAACUCUUUGAUCGUGACUGGAAAAAGAUUAAAGCAUUUGUUGGGUCAAAAUCAGUUAUUCAGUUAUUGCAGCAAUUUCUCAAUGAAUUAAAGGUUCAGAAGAAUGGAACCAAUGAACACUUGCCUCCCCCUAGGCCUAAAAGGAAGGCUGCUUAUCCAUAUCCACAGAAAGCCACAAAAAAUGCCCC